AAGAACACAUGCCUCACUUCC
Molecule: non-coding RNA, 21 nt
Filed under: Rattus norvegicus (Norway rat)
Lineage: Eukaryota; Metazoa; Chordata; Mammalia; Rodentia; Muridae
Source: RNAcentral